GCCAGACUCCUACGGGAGGCAGCAGUGAGGAAUAUUGGUCAAUGGCCGCAGGGCUGAACCAGCCAAGUCGCGUGAGGGAUGACGGUCCUAUGGAUUGUAAACCUCUUUUGUCAGGGAGCAAAGGACGCCACGUGUGGCGUUCCGAGAGUACCCGAAGAAAAAGCAUCGGCUAACUCCGUGCCAGCAGCCGCGGUAAUACGGAGGAUGCGAGCGUUAUCCGGAUUUAUUGGGUUUAAAGGGUGCGUAGGCGGACGCUUAAGUCAGCGGUAAAAUUGCGGGGCUCAACCUCGUCGAGCCGUUGAAACUGGGUGCCUUGAGUGGGCGAGAAGUACGCGGAAUGCGUGGUGUAGCGGUGAAAUGCAUAGAUAUCACGCAGAACUCCGAUUGCGAAGGCAGCAUACCGGCGCCCAACUGACGCUGAAGCACGAAAGCGUGGGUAUCGAACAGGAUUAGAUACCCCAGUA
This 464-nucleotide ribosomal RNA is filed under the name uncultured bacterium. RNAcentral describes it as "bacterial SSU rRNA". It matches the Rfam family "Bacterial small subunit ribosomal RNA", at positions 330 to 792 of the family's 1533-position model. The record is from RNAcentral.